CUGCCACAAUGACAAGGUCCGGUUUCGACCGGACUAGGUGGCUCACACCGGUGCUUCGGACAGCGGUUCGAUUCCGCUCAGCUCCAUUCCCCCACUCCUGCUGGCCCUUGGCCGGUUUGAGAUCAAGGGGCUGCAAUGGUUUCGACGGGGUAUGAGGAGGGUGACUGAAGCCUGCUCGGUAAGAGCGAACCCGUAACAGCGAACAACAUCGUUCGUUUCUCCCGUCAGACCGCCCCUGUGGCUGCCUGACCCUUGUAAGGGAGAUGGGGUGAGGUCAGCCUUAUCACCCAAAUGACCCAUGGGCCCUGGAAGGGGCC
This 317-nucleotide transfer-messenger RNA is filed under the name Synechococcaceae bacterium WB9_2_170. It matches the Rfam family "Cyanobacteria transfer-messenger RNA". From Rfam's summary of the family: Bacterial tmRNA, also known as 10Sa RNA or SsrA, is named for its dual tRNA and mRNA-like properties. The record is from RNAcentral. Lineage: Bacteria; Bacillati; Cyanobacteriota; Cyanophyceae; Synechococcales; Synechococcaceae.